GGAUGAAGAACGCAGCGAAAUGCGAUAAGUAAUGUGAAUUGCAGAAUUCAGUGAAUCAUCGAAUCUUUGAACGCACAUUGCGCCCCUUGGUAUUCCGAGGGGCAUGCCUGUUCGAGCGUCAUUAUAACCCCUCAAGCUCAGCUUGGUGUUGGGGCCUGCCGCACGGGCAGCCCUUAAAAUCAGUGGCGGUGCCAUCUGGCUCUAAGCGUAGUAAUUCUUCUCGCUAUAGAGUCCCGGUGGAUGCUUGCCAUUAACCCCCAAUUUUCUAUGGUUGACCUCGGAUCAGGUAGGGAUACCCGCUGAACUUAAGCAUAUCAAUAAGCGGAGGA
Molecule: unclassified non-coding RNA, 329 nt
Filed under: soil metagenome
Description: partial contains 5.8S ribosomal RNA, internal transcribed spacer 2, and large subunit ribosomal RNA
Rfam family: 5.8S ribosomal RNA (bases 2-121)
Source: RNAcentral